RNAcentral lists this ribosomal RNA (450 nucleotides) under Alternaria alternata. Its description in RNAcentral is "eukaryotic LSU rRNA". The stretch from base 152 to 305 matches the Rfam family "5.8S ribosomal RNA". The record is from RNAcentral. Lineage: Eukaryota; Fungi; Ascomycota; Dothideomycetes; Pleosporales; Pleosporaceae.
CGGGCUGGAACCUCUCGGGGUUACAGCCUUGCUGAAUUAUUCACCCUUGUCUUUUGCGUACUUCUUGUUUCCUUGGUGGGUUCGCCCACCACUAGGACAAACAUAAACCUUUUGUAAUUGCAAUCAGCGUCAGUAACAAAUUAAUAAUUACAACUUUCAACAACGGAUCUCUUGGUUCUGGCAUCGAUGAAGAACGCAGCGAAAUGCGAUAAGUAGUGUGAAUUGCAGAAUUCAGUGAAUCAUCGAAUCUUUGAACGCACAUUGCGCCCUUUGGUAUUCCAAAGGGCAUGCCUGUUCGAGCGUCAUUUGUACCCUCAAGCUUUGCUUGGUGUUGGGCGUCUUGUCUCUAGCUUUGCUGGAGACUCGCCUUAAAGUAAUUGGCAGCCGGCCUACUGGUUUCGGAGCGCAGCACAAGUCGCACUCUCUAUCAGCAAAGGUCUAGCAUCCAUU